GACGAACGCUGGCGGCGCGCCUAACACAUGCAAGUCGAACGGAGCUGCGAGAAGCUUGCUUUUCUUAGCUUAGUGGCGAACGGGUGAGUAACGCGUGAGUAACCUGCCCUGGAGUGGGGGACAACAGUUGGAAACGACUGCUAAUACCGCAUAAGCCCACGAUCCGGCAUCGGAUUGAGGGAAAAGGAUUUAUUCGCUUCAGGAUGGACUCGCGUCCAAUUAGCUAGUUGGUGAGGUAACGGCCCACCAAGGCGACGAUUGGUAGCCGGACUGAGAGAUUGAACGGCCACAUUGGGACUGAGACACGGCCCAGACUCCUACGGGAGGCAGCAGUGGGGGAUAUUGCACAAUGGGGGAAACCCUGAUGCAGCGACGCCGCGUGGAGGAAGAAGGUUUUCGGAUUGUAAACUCCUGUCGUUAGGGACGAUAAUGACGGUACCUAACAAGAAAGCACCGGCUAACUACGUG
This 468-nucleotide ribosomal RNA is filed under the name uncultured bacterium. Its description in RNAcentral is "partial 16S ribosomal RNA". It matches the Rfam family "Bacterial small subunit ribosomal RNA", at positions 28 to 507 of the family's 1533-position model. The record is from RNAcentral.